AGAUUGAACGCUGGCGGCAGGCCUAACACAUGCAAGUCGAGCGGCAGCACGGGUACUUGUACCUGGUGGCGAGCGGCGGACGGGUGAGUAAUGCCUAGGAAUCUGCCUAGUGGUGGGGGAUAACGUUCGGAAACGGACGCUAAUACCGCAUACGUCCUACGGGAGAAAGCGGGGGACUUUCGGGCCUCGCGCCAUUAGAUGAGCCUAGGUCGGAUUAGCUUAGUUGGUGAGGUAAUGGCUCACCAAGGCGACAGUCCGUAACUGGUCUGAGAGGAUGAUCAGUCACACGUGGAACUGACGACACGGUACCAGGACCUCG
This 319-nucleotide ribosomal RNA is filed under the name uncultured soil bacterium. RNAcentral's name for it is "bacterial SSU rRNA". It matches the Rfam family "Bacterial small subunit ribosomal RNA", at positions 26 to 340 of the family's 1533-position model. The record is from RNAcentral.